CGGUGUUUAACUGGCGUGAUGUGGGACGUCCUACCGGUGGGCUUAGCCUCGCGAGGGGCGGCCCAACUAAUAUCCCGUCGCGGUGCUCUUUACUGAGUGUCGAGUCGGGCCGGUACGUUUACUUUGAACAAAUUAGAGUGCUUAAAGCAGGCUAUCCUCGCCUGAAUACUGCGUGCAUGGAAUAAUGGAAUAGGGCCUCGGUUCUAUUUUGUUGGUUUUCGGAACCCCGAGGUAAUGAUUAAUAGGGACAGAUGGGGGCAUUCGUAUUGCGACGUUAGAGGUGAAAUUCUUGGAUCGUCGCAAGACGGACAGAAGCGAAAGCAUUUGCCAAAAAUGUUUUCAUUAAUCAAGAACGAAAGUUAGAGGUUCGAAGGCGAUCAGAUACCGCCCUAGUUCUAACCAUAAACGAUGCCAGCUAGCGAUCCGCCGAAGUUCCUCCGAUGACUCGGCGGGCAGCUUCCGGGAAACCAAAGCUUUUGGGUUCCGGGGGAAGUAUGGUUGCAAAGCUGAAACUUAAAGGAAUUGACGGAAGGGCACCACCAGGAGUGGAGCCUGCGGCUUAAUUUGACUCAACACGGGAAACCUCACCAGGCCCAGACACCGGAAGGAUUGACAGAUUGAUAGCUCUUUCUUGAUUCGGUGGGUGGUGGUGCAUGGCCGUUCUUAGUUGGUGGAGCGAUUUGUCUGGUUAAUUCCGAUAACGAACGAGACUCUAGCCUGCUAAAUAGGCGUACCUUAUGGUAUCGCGAAGGCCCCCGGCUUCGGCCGGUGGGUUUUUACUACCAACGUACAAACAAAUCUUCUUAGAGGGACAGGCGG
This 819-nucleotide ribosomal RNA is filed under the name uncultured eukaryote. Its description in RNAcentral is "SSU rRNA". It matches the Rfam family "Eukaryotic small subunit ribosomal RNA", at positions 629 to 1426 of the family's 1831-position model. The record is from RNAcentral.